GCAGCAGAGCUAGAGAGAACUGCUGUGGAUGGGGCUGUAUUAUAUUGUAACAUGACUCACUAUUCUCUCCUUUUCACUGCUCUGUGUGCAGGAAAAUAAAUUCAAAAAUCAUCCACAAUCUGAGUAUGUGUGUGUGCUGUUGAAGAAUGGGGCAAACCGGGCCAGAAAAACCAAAGGUCACAUUGGUGCCGUGACUCAGGACUUCAAUCAAGGUGGUCGAAGAUCAUCCCAACAUCGGACCGGCGGACCUGUCGUCAUUCUUCACUGCACAGGACCUUCAGCUAAGCUUUUAUUAGUUAUUGCUGGACUUUAUACUAAAAAGAAGAGGGAAGAGACUUUUGAAUGGACACUGUGAAGUGGUUUGAUAUUUUAUUGACUCCAGGUAUCACAGCAGUAUAAUAUAGUAUACACAUUGUUUUUCUUUUUCCAUUUAUAUACUAUUAUUACUUGAUUAUGGAAAACACAAGGUUAACUGGAUCUCGGUAUGUGGGCAGUCCGGUUAGUGUUGGUCGGGGGAGAGGUCUAUUAGUGACACCAAUUCCUUUCCCAGAUAUCAGCUCUAGCUCUAAUAUGAGUGCUGCUAACAAUGGUAUGGGGUUAGAAGCAAAUACAUUUCUUGAGCCAAAUGCUAAUGAAAACCCUGUUAAUUGCAUCACAGAUUCAAGUAGUGCGUCAGAGGGAAGUUAAAGAUCCUCCUACUUUGAGGCGAUACAUCAGACACUGUUACACUCGAUGAGUGGGUGGAGCUAAUGAAGAAUUUCAUAAAAAAGGGGUUUCUGCCUACUGAAGAGCAAGGUGAAGAAAUUUUAAUCCACUUGAGAGGCAAAGCCAAAGAUGUUGUUAAAGUGGGGAUGCUGUCUAGCGGAUUAGAUAUCAGAACAAAUCCUGAUGCAAUCUACACUCUUUUACGGAAGCAUUUCAGUUGUCAACAGUAUUCUCCUGUCCCUUUGCAAGAUUUCUACACCACUCUUCCUGAACCUCAGGAGGAUCCCUUUGAUUACUGGUUACGCCUGAACCAUACUGCUGACGUCGCAGCUGAGUGUCUGAAACAACAGGGAAAGUUAUUAGACAACCAACUGAUCGAAGUCACACGCAUGUUCAUUAGGAAUUGUCCAAACUCAGAUCUAGCACUGACAUUUCGUUCAAAAACCAUUGACAAAUGGACGGCUCAUGAAGUGCAAGAGAUCCUGAAAAAGUAUCAUUCAGAGAAAAAUCUCAGAGGCACUGGACAAGGAAACAGAC
Molecule: long non-coding RNA, 1242 nt
Organism: Cyprinus carpio carpio
Lineage: Eukaryota; Metazoa; Chordata; Actinopteri; Cypriniformes; Cyprinidae
Source: Ensembl